AAAAAAACAAACACACAGCAAUACGAUCAGAUCAAAAGAAGUCCGAGGCCGAUGUUAGAAUAGGUAACAGAAGAAACUAAGCAAAAUCACAAUGUUCAAAACAAAAUGAUAAAGGACUUCUAACAGUUACUGACAUGCUAGCUGCAGACCUCAAUAAAACUGAUCCAAUAUCAUGUCUCCAUCGUUUAGAAAAUCAACCACAAUCUCUCCUAUUAGGGGUUUAGUAUUAUAAGUUACAUGUAUAAGAAAAGAACAUAAUUCGUAUCAUGCCAA
This 273-nucleotide long non-coding RNA is filed under the name Mytilus galloprovincialis (Mediterranean mussel). The record is from RNAcentral. Lineage: Eukaryota; Metazoa; Mollusca; Bivalvia; Mytilida; Mytilidae.